AUUUUGCAGCCGCCACUCUCCAUUCAACCACCUCCGGCGCUGCACCCCUCUCCACUAUCAAGGUUACAAGCGUUGUUGCCUUGCCGAUGAGCACCAUCGUGAUGUAGUUUUCGAGAUCGUAAGAGAACCAUGGAUGCCGGCGAGAAUCCCACUACCAUAUCAUCCUUGCCGACGACAACAAGGCCGUUGUCAUAGCCGUUUACGCCGCCUCCCUCGUCUGUGAAGCCAGAGAAACGAGACCACGAUGGGGCCACCAUAUCAGUCAACAACGAGGCAGGGAGACGCCAACCGCCACUUUUGCAUCGAUGUUUUCGAUGCUCCCCAGAUCAAUCUUCGCCAUCUCCUGCCCGGCAGUCACCGACGAAGCCGCUGAAGUUGAUUCCUCCGUCGCCGACCUUCUCUUUCUCGUCUGAGGUGUCGUUGCAUGGUGGGUGCUUGUGCUUCAUGUGUGUGUGUGCGUUUGUGGGCUGUCAUCGCCAAACCUCCGCUGCCGACCGCCAUACGCCACCAAGAAGGUGGCCGGGUCCUUCCACAACCAGGGCAUGUGUAUGUGGCAGUGUUUUUCCACUGUUGGCAUGUGUAUGUAUUUGAAGUUCUCGAAAAUGGAAUCACCACCACCAUAGGGUGGNGCCGCCAUGUGCCACCGCCGGCCACCACAAGGGUGGUUGCGGGUGUAUGUUUAUUUAGUAUAGUGUGUGUGCGUGUGUGUUUAUUUCGUGAGUUUAUUGUAAAAUGUAUUUGGAAAUCGAAAUAAUGAAAUGAAUCUCUAACCACCACCGGCUGCCGUGUCGGGUGGCGGUGUGCUUUGAUGGUGUUUGCACUUGUUUGGAUGAUUGGACAAAGGACUAAAACCCUAAUGGGCCCAAUGAAGCUUAAUGGACUGUAUUGGACCCAAUAAGACUUAAUGGGCUUAAUAAAACCUUAAUGGACCCUAAUAAAACCCUAAUGGGCUUAAUGAUAUUCUAGUGGGCUUAGUAGGCCCAAUAAAGCCCUAAUUGAUUUAAAAGCCCAACAAAUUAAUUAAUGGACUAGUAGUGGGUUGGAAACCCUAAUUAGGGGGAAUUAAUCGGGACACACGGGAAUUAUUUAAUAACUGGAGAUAUUAAAUAAUAAUCAUUGGCAAAGACUAAUCUAAGCAAUAUGGGACUUAAUGGAUUAAGUCCUUAAUGGAUUAAGUGCUUAAUGGGUUAAGUAGGAAACUUAACCCUAAUCAUUAUUUUAUGUGAAACCCUAAUUUCAUUUGGGUUUAUGGUUGGGCCUUUCUGUUGUGCCUUAAUGAUUGGGAUAUCAAAUGGGCUAUCCAAGAUCAAGCAAAUGGUCUAGAGCAAUUUAAUGGGCCUACCGUAAGGCCCAAGUAAGGGGCUUGGGCCCAAUUUAGAAAAUUGGGCCAUAGAUGGGCCAUAGUUUAGGCCUUAAUGAGUAUAUGAUGUUGGGCCUCAGAAUGAGACCAUGUAUAGGCCUAGGCCUAAUUUGGAAAAUUGGGCCAUGUGUUUUGCCUUGAUUCCUAAUUGACUUUGGGCCUACGGAUUGCGCCUUGGGCUUGAAUAAGUCAAGCGAGGGGUAAUGUAGUAAUUACCCAAAGAAUGUAUGUAUGGUUAUGUAUUGGGACCCAAUUAUUGAUCAGGUGUUAUUUUGGUGUUGACAGUUCGGGAAUCUGUCAGCCAGCAGCUGGGGUCGAGUCUGCGGGACUUCAGCAAGUGGGGGAUUGUGUCUUCGGGACUUCAACAGUGUGAGGUGAGUUACCUUCCAGUAGCGGUGGGUCUAAGGCCACAAUGCCGGCCCACCAGUAGGAGACGUAUGAUAGAUGAUUGUCUUUGUGAUAUCAUCUAGGUUUGCUACUACCUGAUAUGUUAUAUGCUAGCAUGAUAUGUUGUAUGUGAUAGUAGUCGAGUUCGGUUGUUAGGACCGAAGGGUAGUCAGACACCCCAGAUACGUCUGACAGUAUGUGAUGAUAUGUUUGCAUGCUGGCUUGUUAUGUUAUAUGCGAUAGAGGUAGUAUGAGGGGACCAGUCCCCAUGUUCAGUUGUUAGGACAGAAGGGUAGUUCACGCACCCCAGAUAUGUCUGAUUGUAUGUUUAUGUUAUGAUAUAUGUGAUAGUAGCAGUAGGGGUGGAAUAGUCCCCGNAUGGGUAGGUCAGCACCCCAAUAUGGCUUUACACGGGUAGGUCGGCACCCCAGAAUGACCGUACCGGGUAGGUCGGCACCCCAGAAUGGUCGUAUCAGGUAGGUCGGGCACCCCAGAAUUGCCUGGCAGUAUGUAUGCUAUGUGAUUGUAUGGUAUGUGGUAUGAUGGGGGAACUCACUAAGCUUUGUGCUUACGGUUUUCAGUUUUGGUUUCAGGUACUUCGUGUUUAAAGGAAAGGAGCCGGCUCGAUCGCAGCGCAUCACACUAUGGUUUUCCGCACAUGAGAUCUUUGGGAUUACACUAUGAUAUUGUUUUAUGAUAACAUGUUUGAUUAUUUCUACUUUGGUUUAUAUAUGAAAUGAUAUUACAAAUGUUUUACUACAAUGUUGGUUUUAUAAUGACGUAUUUAAAAAUGAAAUUUUUGGUCUGUAUCUUUGGGAUGUUACAAGUUGGUAUCAGAGCCUUGGUUUGAGGGAUUCGGACAUACUCUCGGGUGUGUCUGAACUCAAACUAAGGGCUUGGUAUGAAAAUUUUCAAAAGUAAAACCAUUUUAUAAAAAGGAGUUUGAAAAGAAUCUUUAAAGAGAAGAGAAUUUUGAGAAGAACAAAGUGUGUGAUGCGUGCAAUCAGCUGAGCUCAAGUAAGUUUUCCCCAAGAUACCCAUACAUGAUAUGAUAUGAUAUGAUUAUGAGAACUGCAUGCUAGAUUAGGGCUAAGGAUCUAGGAGGAUGCCUUAUAUGCCUAUUGUAUGUGCUUGUAGACUUGCAUGCUAGUACAGACCAGUCAGUGUUAGGAUAGCCUGUUUAGGUUAUGCCUGAUUGUAUGAGCCUUUGAAUUGCAUGUACAGAUUCCUGAUUAUAGGAUAGAAUGAUUUUAUUGGAAUAUGAUGGUUAGAGUUCCCACUGUCUGAAUGCUGCUUGCUUUGUGCUUUGUGGGACUUUUAGUAAUGUGAGCUAACUAUUAAAUGAAUAUGCUAAGUCACAUGUGGCACAGACUGGAUAAUCUCAGAGUGAUAGAUUUGACCCUAUUACGUAGCUCUUGUCUGAGUCCAACCAUUAUAGGGAUGAGUCUGUUACUUGAAGGAUUAUCUGAUCUCUGUUGCAUGUGGCUAUAUUCAUGAGGUAGCUAGUUGACAUUACUGGGAAUCUUUCGGCAGCUGAGGACUGGGUGAGUUCGGGAACCUAGGGAAGCCUAGGAUAUAUUUUAGUGAGUUAGUAGUGAGGCUCAGUUAGACUUGGGUGUACUAGUUGAGGAAGUGACUUGGAGGAUCCGGGAGGAUUGCUGAGGAAAGUAUGGAUAGGUGUGGAAGGUAGUAUUGGGCCCGUACUACUGAAAGCACAGGAUCCAUACUCGAAUCAGCGAGAGUCUUGGAGAAUCUAAGAAGCUUCAGGGAAGAGUUUGUGACCCAGUUUGGGGACAGAGGAUGUUCCAGUUGUUGCAGCUUAGCCAUUGGCAAGCAAGCUAGUAAGCGUGACAGGGUGUCAGACCCUGAAGGAUACGAUUUCCAAGAAUUGCAAAUGCGGGAUCGAUUUGGGAGCACUCUGGAAAGAGAGAUGCGUGCCAGGUGCGUAUAGUAGAGGGUCCCAAGAAGAGACCCUUGACUUCUGAUCAUCGGGUGAAAGGCCAGCAGGGCAUGAGUUAGUGCAGCGCAUACGAGAAGUACACGAGGGAGUUUGUCACUCCAAGGGUUUAGGCUGCUACAGGGUAGCAGGAUUGGUCAUAUCAGCAGAAGGGGGUCAGUAUUCCUCCAGACGUUGUGAGUAUGUCAUCUUCUAUUGCUACUAGAUGGAUGUUGGGGAUACGUAUCGCGUUGGAAUUGUGAGUGAGUUUGGAUAAGUCAGACCUCGGGUCGGUUUUUCUGCUAGUGUUUUGUUAUCAAGGACCGUAUAUGCCAUUUUGCAUGCCGUAAGGUCCUUGAUGAACCUAUAGAGGGACGUAUCUUGCGGGGUGGGUUCCGCGCAUACCGUUAUCAUUUCGGAUCUUUGUCAGGAUCUAUGCAGGAGUAUUAUUUAGAGGAGACUCAAUUAGGGUUAGAGUAAUAAUUAUCCAAUGAAGUCAGCGUUCAGGGAUUCUAUCAUUGUUCAGGUAUGGUUGGUAAUUGUCUAUGGAUGAACCUUGGAGUUCAAGGCACUACCGUUGCUAGGACAGAGCAGGUGACAUGAAAAGGGUAGUGUCAGUCGCGGGUGUUAUAUGCAUAAGUGGUUGGUCAUCGCAUGAUCAAGAGAAUUGUAUCCUCGCGUGGGCUAUGUUCGGUUAGAGUUCAGUGGUGCUGCGAGAUUGGAAGUGGGAAUAAGGAUUCGUCAGCCAGAGUGAAGAUUAAGGUCUUCAAUUAACAACAUGGGAGAUGGAUUGAGGCGUUAGAUUGGACCGGAUUUCAAGAGUACUCCUCUAGAUUUCAGAGGAUGGGCGAUCUUAAGGUUUGAUUGGUGAUGGAUUGUUAUCACUGGUAAGUACAGGUUGACAUCAAGGGGAUACUAGGAAGCGAGAAGGAUUGGAAAUCCUUCAAUUCUUGUGUGCAGUGAAGACUUAGUUGAAUGCAAGUGGGGGAGAGACUUUUUAUAAAGUUCUCCAAAUGUGAGUUCUGGUUGCACGGGGUGUAAUCUCUUGGGCACCUUGUCAACCAGAAGGGUAUUCUAGUUGAUCCGGCCAAGAUAAAGGUCGCGAUGUAGUGGGAGAUUCCGAGAUCUCCAUCUGAGAUUUGGAAUUCCCUGGGUAUAGCGGGUUAUUUUCGGAGAUUUAUGCAGGACUUCUUUGAGAUUGUGGUUCCUUUGACCUGACUGACCAAGAAAUCGGUAACCUUUCGUUAGGGGCCUGGGUAGCAGGCAGCCAUCGAGGCUCUCAGACAGCGGUUGUAUGAGGCACUGAUUCUCACCUUGCCAGAGGGUGUAGAUGAUUUCGUGGUUUGUCGUGACGCUUUGAUCACGGGCAUGGGUACGGUACUGAUACAGUGAGGUCACGUGAUAGCAGGUUUCAGGAACCAAGUUAGAGUUCCGGUUAGGACUCGAGUUCAGUUGAGGGUUAGGUCGAGUGCGUGUUUGACCCGGUUUGGAAAGUGUUGUAAGACUACGGGGGUAGCCAUAACAUUCACUAGUAGUCAGUUAUCAUGGGAAGUGUUGUAAGACUAUGGGGGUAGCCGUAGCAUUCACUAGACGUCAGUUAGUAUGGAAAGUGUUGUAAGACUACGGGGGUAGCCAUAACAUUCACUAGUAGUCAGUUAUCAUGGGAAGUGUUGUAAGACUAUGGGGGUAGCCGUAGCAUUCACUAGCGAUCAGAUAGUGUUAGAGUGUUGUAAGUCUGCGAGUGUAGCCGUAGCAUUCACUAGCAGCAGAUAGUGUGAGGGGUGGUAUAAGUCUGUGGGUGUAGCCGUAGCAUUCACCAGGUUGGCAAAUAGUACUAGAGUGUUGUAAGUCUGCGGGUGUAGCCGUAGCAUUCACUAGCAGCUAGAUNGGUGUUGUAAGUCUGCGGGUGUAGCCGUAGCAUUCACUAGGUUGGUAGAUGGCAUGAGCGUGUUGUUAGAACGCAAAAGGAACAGUCGUACCCACCAGUCCGGGUGCGGCGGUGAGGAUAUGGAAAUCCCCGUAUUGGAUUUUGGUAUUACCCAGAUGGAUUAGAUCUGGGUGAGCCAGUGAUAAGACUGUAGGAACGCCACUACAGUUAUGAGAUCAGAGAAGUAAUGGACUACGUAAGGGCGUUGGUGAUGUAAGGCUACCAUUGGUUAGGUAGCGAUCACUUUUAGUCUUGGAUUUGAUGAUGACAGGAUCUGACGCAUGGACCCAAUUGGUUAGAUCAUAAAGUAGUAGAGUCACAUUGGCAUGAUAACUAGUGACAACUAGUUCCAGAGAAGGAUUUCGCUCAGAAGUCGUGUGAGGCGAAUAAGUAGGGAGUCCUUUGGCUCCUCAGUCAGGUGGAAACCCAGUAUUUCAGAGGAUUGGCAAGCGAAUUGAGACCCAUGAGGUCUUGGUACCUUUUGGUAAGCAGCUAUGUAGCAGCGUAUACUGCUUUAGGCGGUUCAGUGUUCGAGCAGUUUCAACGUUUGGGCAGUGAUAAUAUGUGUGUUUUAGUUGCAUAUGCGCACGGAAUAGCUGGUUUAUUGGGGAGUGACAAGUCACCCACAGUGGGAUUAGCUGAGCCUUAGCCGAGAAUAAGGGAUUUGCAGAGGUAAUUGGGUUUGUCACCUAGGUUUAUGCCAGGAACCACAUGCUAUCAGAAGUUAAGUAGUCAGUUGAGGGAUGAACAGACUAGAUUCAUCGAUAAUGAUUUAGUAUGAGUGGUUUGUUAGGGAUUCAGACCAUCUCGAGACAGCAGAUUCAGACGGAAUAGAUAUGAUCUGGUUGCAAGGAAUUCGUUCAUAUGAGGAUAUUAGGGCUCCGCGAAGAUUGGUCAUAGCUACCCUGGAAAGGCUAGGGUGUGCCCAAGAGAGUGAUCAUAUUACUAGAAGUGGCUUGGCAUAAAAGAAAUAGUAAGGAGUGAUUUCGAGGACGAAAUCUAAUUAAAGUGGGGGAGAGUUGUAACGCCCGUUUACUUAUUAGUUAAAUAAAUUAAUUAAUGAAUGAAUGGUAGCCUAAAAGAAAUAAUUAUAUAUGCGGGGUGUUGGAUUCGAGGAGUUAAUUGCCACAUUUUUAGAAGUUGGGGGUUAAAAGUGUGAGUUUGGGACUCAUUUUAUAAAUAUUCAUGAAGACAGGGGCUCCGUGGUAAUUAUUUCGAAUUUAUUUAAAAGGGAAAUGAGGUGGAAGGAUAGAUUAUGUCAUAAUUAAGAUAUUGGGGACUGUUUGGUAAACUUUGUACCUAAGGUGUAAAUUAUUUUAAUGUUGGGGGUUUAAAUGGUAAUUUAUGGGCUAUGUUUGAAGAAAUUGUGGAAAGGAGGGACCAGAGGUGUUAUUUGGACGCAAAGUUUGUAUGGAGUCGGGGUUUAAACCCGUGUUAUCCCCCCCUUGUCGCAUUUUACACCCUAACCCUAGCGACCAUUUUGCAGCCGCCACUCUCCAUUCAACCACCUCCGGCGCUGCACCCCUCUCCACUGUCAAGGUCACAAGCGUUGUUGCCAAUCAAUGAGCACCAUCGUGAUGUAGUUUUCGAGAUCGUAAGAGAACCAUGGAUGCCGACGAGAAUGCCCACUGCCAUAUCAUCCUUGCCGACGACAACAAGGCCGUUGUCAUAGCCGUUUACGCCGCCUCCCUCGUCUGUGAAGCCAGAGAAACGAGACCACGAUGGGGCCACCAUAUCAGUCAACAACGAGGCAGGGAGACGCCAACCGCCACUGUUGCAUCGAUGUUUUCGAUGCUACCCAGAUCAAUCUUCGCCAUCUCCUGCCCGG
RNAcentral lists this long non-coding RNA (7438 nucleotides) under Lactuca sativa (garden lettuce). RNAcentral describes it as "long non-coding RNA (LSAT_LNC006447)". Lineage: Eukaryota; Viridiplantae; Streptophyta; Magnoliopsida; Asterales; Asteraceae. The record is from RNAcentral.